This 100-nucleotide microRNA precursor is filed under the name Xyrichtys novacula (pearly razorfish). The record is from RNAcentral. Lineage: Eukaryota; Metazoa; Chordata; Actinopteri; Labriformes; Labridae.
GGUAGAGUAGGGCCCUACUCUAACUACUAGUAAAUGUAAAAGGCUGUGAUCACCUAUUCACCUACACCUACUAGUAGGUAAAGUAGGGCCCUACUCUACC